RNAcentral lists this ribosomal RNA (413 nucleotides) under uncultured bacterium. Its description in RNAcentral is "bacterial SSU rRNA". It matches the Rfam family "Bacterial small subunit ribosomal RNA", at positions 29 to 426 of the family's 1533-position model. The record is from RNAcentral.
AGCGAACGCUGGCGGCGUGCUUAACACAUGCAAGUCGUGGGAGAACGGGAACCUUCGGGUUCCUCAGUAAACCGGCGCACGGGUGAGUAACACGUAGGUAACCUACCUUAGAGACUGGGAUAACUCAUCGAAAGAUGGGCUAAUACCGGAUAUGACCACGGGAGUGACGGCUCCUGGGGUGAAAGAUGGCCUCUUCCUGAAAGCUAUCACUCUGAGAUGGGCCUGCGCAUCAUUAGCUUGUGUGGGUAAAGCCUACCAAGGCGACGAUGAUUAGCUGGUCUGAGAGGAUGAUCAGCCACACUGGACUGAGACACGGCCCAGACUCCUACGGGAGGCAGCAGUGGGGAAUAUUGCGCAAUGGGGGAAACCCUGACGCAGCGACGCCGCGUGAGUGAUGAAGGCCCUCGGGUCGU